GCGCUGGCGGCAUGCCUUCACAUGCAAGUCCUACGGCAACAACGGGGCAACCUGGCGGCUUCCGGCGAACGGGUGAGUAAUAUAUCGGAACGUACCCUGGAGUGGGGGAUAACGUAGCUAACGUUACGCUAAUACCGCAUACGAUCUAAGGAUGAAAGUGGGGGAUCGCAAGACCUCAUGCUCCUGGAGCGGCCGAUAUCUGAUUAGCUAGUUGGUAGGGUAAAAGCCUACCAAGGCAUCGAUCAGUAGCUGGUCUGAGAGGACGACCAGCCACACUGGAACUGAGACACGGUCCAGACUCCUACGGGAGGCAGCAGUGGGGAAUUUUGGACAAUGGGCGCAAGCCUGAUCCAGCAAUGCCGCGUGAGUGAAGAAGGCCUUCGGGUUGUAAAGCUCUUUUGUCAGGGAAGAAACGGGUCUUUCUAAUACAGAGGCCUAAUGACGGUACCUGAAGAAUAAGCACCGGCUAACUACGUGCCAGCAGCCGCGGUAAUACGUAGGGUGCUAGCGUUAAUCGGAAUUACUGGGCGUAAAGCGUGCGCAAGCGGUUUUGUAAGUCUGUUGUGAAAUCCCCGGGCUCAACCUGGGAAUGGCAAUGGAGACUGCAAGGCUAGAGUUUGGCAAAAGGGGGUAGAAUUCCACGUGUAGCCAUGAAUGGCGUAGAUAUGUGGAGGAACACCGAUGGCGAAGGCAGCCCCCUGGGUCCAAACUGA
RNAcentral lists this ribosomal RNA (713 nucleotides) under Duganella sp. TWS-39. RNAcentral describes it as "bacterial SSU rRNA". It matches the Rfam family "Bacterial small subunit ribosomal RNA", at positions 33 to 743 of the family's 1533-position model. The record is from RNAcentral. Lineage: Bacteria; Pseudomonadati; Pseudomonadota; Betaproteobacteria; Burkholderiales; Oxalobacteraceae.